This is a regulatory RNA element of Bradyrhizobium japonicum, 71 nucleotides long. It matches the Rfam family "terC RNA". The record is from Rfam. Lineage: Bacteria; Pseudomonadati; Pseudomonadota; Alphaproteobacteria; Hyphomicrobiales; Nitrobacteraceae.
ACAAGAAUCCGGGCCCCUCUGGCGAGGCCGCCGACGAAUGUCGGCAAACCUCGUGAUGUCGGAUGACCUGU